RNAcentral lists this ribosomal RNA (492 nucleotides) under uncultured bacterium. Its description in RNAcentral is "partial 16S ribosomal RNA". It matches the Rfam family "Bacterial small subunit ribosomal RNA", at positions 29 to 507 of the family's 1533-position model. The record is from RNAcentral.
AGUGAACGCUAGCGGUAGGCCUAACACAUGCAAGUCGAACGGCAGCACAGUAAGAGCUUUGUCUUACAGGUGGCUAGUCGCGGACGCGUGAGGAAUACAUCGGAAUCUACUUUUUCUUGGGGGGUAACGAAGUUAAGCUUACGCGAAUACCACAUACUACCUACCCGUGAAAGCAUCGGAUCGUCGGACCUUGUGCAACUGAAUUAGCCGAUGUCGGAUUAGCUAGUUUUCUGGGUAAAGGCCCACCAAGGCGACGCUCCGUAGCUGGUGUGAGAGGAUGAUCAGCCACACUAGAUCUGAGACACGGUCCAGACUCCUAUGGGAGGCAACAGUGGAGAAUAUUGGACUAUGGACGGGAGGCUGAUCCAGACCUACCGCGUGGCUGAAGAAGGCCUUCGGGUUGUAAAGCUAUUUUGUUGGGAAAGAAAAGCAGCAGGUUAAUCCCCCGCUGUUCUGACGGUACCCAAAGAAUAAGCACCGGCUAACUUCGUG